Molecule: non-coding RNA, 92 nt
Filed under: Gambierdiscus australes
Lineage: Eukaryota; Dinophyceae; Gonyaulacales; Pyrocystaceae
Source: RNAcentral
AUGCAAAGCAGGGUUUGCUGCUCCAGUUGAGAGCUCAUAUAGGUUCGUGGGCCGAGGGGCAACAGAGCAGGGUGGAGCCCGGCUGGUACCAG